UGCAAGUCGAGCGGGGUGAAGUGCUUCGGUACUGAUCCUAGCGGCGGACGGGUGAGUAAUGCUUAGGAAUCUGCCAUUUAGUGGGGGACAACAUUCCGAAAGGAAUGCUAAUACCGCAUACGUCCUACGGGAGAAAGCAGGGGAUCUUCGGACCUUGCGCUAAAUGAUGAGCCUAAGUCGGAUUAGCUAGUUGGUGGGGUAAAGGCCUACCAAGGCGACGAUCUGUAGCGGGUCUGAGAGGAUGAUCCGCCACACUGGGACUGAGACACGGCCCAGACUCCUACGGGAGGCAGCAGUGGGGAAUAUUGGACAAUGGGCGGAAGCCUGAUCCAGCCAUGCCGCGUGUGUGAAGAAGGCCUUUUGGUUGUAAAGCACUUUAAGCGAGGAGGAGGCUACCUGGAUUAAUACUCUAGGAUGGUGGACGUUACUCGCAGAAUAAGCACCGGCUAACUCUGUGCCAGCAGCCGCGGUAAUACAGAGGGUGCGAGCGUUAAUCGGAUUUACUGGGCGUAAAGCGUGCGUAGGCGGCUGAUUAAGUCGGAUGUGAAAUCCCUGAGCUUAACUUAGGAAUUGCAUUCGAUACUGGUCAGCUAGAGUAUGGGAGAGGAUGGUAGAAUUCCAGGUGUAGCGGUGAAAUGCGUAGAGAUCUGGAGGAAUACCGAUGGCGAAGGCAGCCAUCUGGUCUAAUACUGACGCUGAG
This 700-nucleotide ribosomal RNA is filed under the name uncultured bacterium. RNAcentral's name for it is "bacterial SSU rRNA". It matches the Rfam family "Bacterial small subunit ribosomal RNA", at positions 56 to 750 of the family's 1533-position model. The record is from RNAcentral.